RNAcentral lists this ribosomal RNA (431 nucleotides) under uncultured bacterium. RNAcentral describes it as "partial 16S ribosomal RNA". It matches the Rfam family "Bacterial small subunit ribosomal RNA", at positions 29 to 507 of the family's 1533-position model. The record is from RNAcentral.
AACGAACGCUGGCGGCAGGCUUAACACAUGCAAGUCGAACGCCCCGCAAGGGGAGUGGCAGACGGGUGAGUAACGCGUGGGAACAUACCCUUUUCUACGGAAUAGCUCUGGGAAACUGGAAUUAAUACCGUAUACGCCCUACGGGGGAAAGAUUUAUCGGGGAAGGAUUGGCCCGCGUUGGAUUAGCUAGUUGGUGGGGUAAAGGCCUACCAAGGCGACGAUCCAUAGCUGGUCUGAGAGGAUGAUCAGCCACAUUGGGACUGAGACACGGCCCAAACUCCUACGGGAGGCAGCAGUGGGGAAUAUUGGAAAAUGGGCGAAAGCCUGAUCAAGCCAUGCCGCGUGAGUGAUGAAGGCCUUAGGGUUGUAAAGCUCUUUCACCGAUGAAGAUAAUGACGGUAGUCGGAGAAGAAGCCCCGGCUAACUUCGUG